This 900-nucleotide ribosomal RNA is filed under the name uncultured bacterium. Its description in RNAcentral is "bacterial SSU rRNA". It matches the Rfam family "Bacterial small subunit ribosomal RNA", at positions 1 to 896 of the family's 1533-position model. The record is from RNAcentral.
GCCCUUAAGUUUGAUCCUGGCUCAGGAUGAACGCUAGCUACAGGCUUAACACAUGCAAGUCGAGGGGCAUCAGGAAGAAAGCUUGCUUUCUUUGCUGGCGACCGGCGCACGGGUGAGUAACACGUAUCCAACUUGCCCUUUACUCGGGGAUAGCCUUUCGAAAGAAAGAUUAAUACCCGAUAGCAUAAUGAUUCCGCAUGGUUUCAUUAUUAAAGGAUUCCGGUAAAGGAUGGGGAUGCGUUCCAUUAGGUUGUUGGUGAGGUAACGGCCCACCAAGCCUUCGAUGGAUAGGGGUUCUGAGAGGAAGGUCCCCCACAUUGGAACUGAGACACGGUCCAAACUCCUACGGGAGGCAGCAGUGAGGAAUAUUGGUCAAUGGGCGCUAGCCUGAACCAGCCAAGUAGCGUGAAGGAUGAAGGCUCUAUGGGUCGUAAACUUCUUUUAUAAGGGAAUAAAGUGAGUCUCGUGAGACUUUUUGCAUGUACCUUAUGAAUAAGGACCGGCUAAUUCCGUGCCAGCAGCCGCGGUAAUACGGAAGGUCCGGGCGUUAUCCGGAUUUAUUGGGUUUAAAGGGAGCGUAGGCCGGAGAUUAAGCGUGUUGUGAAAUGUAGACGCUCAACGUCUGCACUGCAGCGCGAACUGGUUUCCUUGAGUACGCACAAAGUGGGCGGAAUUCGUGGUGUAGCGGUGAAAUGCUUAGAUAUCACGAAGAACUCCGAUUGCGAAGGCAGCUCACUGGAGCGCAACUGACGCUGAAGCUCGAAAGUGCGGGUAUCGAACAGGAUUAGAUACCCUGGUAGUCCGCACGGUAAACGAUGGAUGCCCGCUGUUGGUCUGAAUAGGUCAGCGGCCAAGCGAAAGCAUUAAGCAUCCCACCUGGGGAGUACGCCGGCAACGGUG